Molecule: ribosomal RNA, 609 nt
Filed under: Limosilactobacillus reuteri
Lineage: Bacteria; Bacillati; Bacillota; Bacilli; Lactobacillales; Lactobacillaceae
Description: bacterial SSU rRNA
Rfam family: Bacterial small subunit ribosomal RNA
Source: RNAcentral
GCAGUCGUACGCACUGGCCCAACUGAUUGAUGGUGCUUGCACCUGAUUGACGAUGGAUCACCAGUGAGUGGCGGACGGGUGAGUAACACGUAGGUAACCUGCCCCGGAGCGGGGGAUAACAUUUGGAAACAGAUGCUAAUACCGCAUAACAACAAAAGCCACAUGGCUUUUGUUUGAAAGAUGGCUUUGGCUAUCACUCUGGGAUGGACCUGCGGUGCAUUAGCUAGUUGGUAAGGUAACGGCUUACCAAGGCGAUGAUGCAUAGCCGAGUUGAGAGACUGAUCGGCCACAAUGGAACUGAGACACGGUCCAUACUCCUACGGGAGGCAGCAGUAGGGAAUCUUCCACAAUGGGCGCAAGCCUGAUGGAGCAACACCGCGUGAGUGAAGAAGGGUUUCGGCUCGUAAAGCUCUGUUGUUGGAGAAGAACGUGCGUGAGAGUAACUGUUCACGCAGUGACGGUAUCCAACCAGAAAGUCACGGCUAACUACGUGCCAGCAGCCGCGGUAAUACGUAGGUGGCAAGCGUUAUCCGGAUUUAUUGGGCGUAAAGCGAGCGCAGGCGGUUGCUUAGGUCUGAUGUGAAAGCCUUCGGCUUAACCGAAGAAGUG